CGGGUGGAGCCGCAAUGUCGCUCGUCCCGGGGCAUUCAGCCCGCUUCCCGCCGCCGGACCUCCCUGGAUUCAAGCGGCGCCGCUCUUCGGAGUGCGUGCCCGCCGGGGAGGGUACAAAGCCGGUGGCGAGACGGGUGCACUUGCUUCGGUCGUCGAGAGCCACGACCGGUUCCUUCGCAGGCAGUGUGGACUCCCUUGGUCGGGUUAACGGCGGGUCGAACGAUGUUCCAAUUUUUGGGCUUCGAUCGCCCGCUCCGACCGGGAGGGAAACUGGCCUGGGGACCGAGGACUGCAUCUGGCUGGCGUCUCCGUUACUCUCGAGCCGUGCGCCCUGUCGGCCCCCUUCGGGUGUGGUCAGGCAAGACGGGCGCGAGGACGCAUCGGGAGCGAGCGGACGGCGUUCGGCCUAACACGGUGCUUGUCGGUGGCGGAUCAGGUCGGUACUCCACCCGACCCG
This 457-nucleotide ribosomal RNA is filed under the name Vasticardium enode. Its description in RNAcentral is "partial 28S ribosomal RNA". Lineage: Eukaryota; Metazoa; Mollusca; Bivalvia; Cardiida; Cardiidae. The record is from RNAcentral.